AUGAACGCUGGCGGCGUGCCUAAUACAUGCAAGUCGAGCGAACAGAUGAGGAGCUUGCUCCUCUGACGUUAGCGGCGGACGGGUGAGUAACACGUGGAUAACCUACCUAUAAGACUGGGAUAACUUCGGGAAACCGGAGCUAAUACCGGAUAAUAUAUUGAACCGCAUGGUUCCAUAGUGAAAGACGGUUUUGCUGUCACUUAUAGAUGGAUCCGCGCCGCAUUAGCUAGUUGGUAAGGUAACGGCUUACCAAGGCAACGAUGCGUAGCCGACCUGAGAGGGUGAUCGGCCACACUGGAACUGAGACACGGUCCAGACUCCUACGGGAGGCAGCAGUAGGGAAUAUUCCGCAAUGGGCGCAAGCCUGACGGAGCAACGCCGCGUGAGUGAUGAAGGUCUUCGGAUCGUAAAACUCUGUUAUUAGGGAAGAACAAAUGUGUAAGUAACUAUGCACGUCUUGACGGUACCUAAUCAGAAAGCCACGGCUAACUACGUG
This 496-nucleotide ribosomal RNA is filed under the name uncultured bacterium. RNAcentral describes it as "partial 16S ribosomal RNA". It matches the Rfam family "Bacterial small subunit ribosomal RNA", at positions 29 to 507 of the family's 1533-position model. The record is from RNAcentral.